UACAGAGGUCCCAAGCGUUGUUCGGAUUCACUGGGCGUAAAGGGUGCGUAGGCGGUCGGGUAAGUCUGAUGUGAAAUCUCACAGCUUAACUGUGAAACUGCAUUGGAUACUAUCCGACUCGAGGAAUGGAGGGGAGACUGGAAUACUUGGUGUAGCAGUGAAAUGCGUAGAUAUCAAGUGGAACACCAGUGGCGAAGGCGAGUCUCUGGACAUUUCCUGACGCUGAGGCACGAAAGCCAGGGGAGCAAACGGG
RNAcentral lists this ribosomal RNA (253 nucleotides) under uncultured bacterium. RNAcentral's name for it is "partial 16S ribosomal RNA". It matches the Rfam family "Bacterial small subunit ribosomal RNA", at positions 524 to 776 of the family's 1533-position model. The record is from RNAcentral.